CCUUGAAAAUCUAUUUUCCG
RNAcentral lists this small nuclear RNA (20 nucleotides) under Arabidopsis thaliana (thale cress). RNAcentral's name for it is "snRNA_01329". The record is from RNAcentral. Lineage: Eukaryota; Viridiplantae; Streptophyta; Magnoliopsida; Brassicales; Brassicaceae.